UGUUCGGAAUUACUGGGCGUAAAGGGCUCGUAGGUGGCCAACUAAGUCAGACGUGAAAUCCCUCGGCUUAACCGGGGAACUGCGUCCGAUACCGGCAGGCUUGAAUCCGGGAGAGGGAUGCGGAAUUCCAGGUGUAGCGGUGAAAUGCGUAGAUAUCUGGAGGAACACCGGUGGCGAAGGCGGCAUCCUGGACCGGCAUUAACGCUGAGGCGCGAAAGCCAGGGGAGCAAACGGG
This 235-nucleotide ribosomal RNA is filed under the name uncultured bacterium. RNAcentral's name for it is "partial 16S ribosomal RNA". It matches the Rfam family "Bacterial small subunit ribosomal RNA", at positions 542 to 776 of the family's 1533-position model. The record is from RNAcentral.